GAUGAACGCUAGCGGGAGGCUUAACACAUGCAAGUCGAGCGGUAUUGGCAGCAAUGUCGAGAGAGCGGCGCACGGGUGCGUAACGCGUAUGCAACCUGCCUUAUGCAGGGGGAUAGCCCAUGGAAACGUGGAUUAAUACCCCAUAGAAUAUUAGAGUCGCAUGAUUUUAAUAUUAAAAUUCCGAUGGCAUAAGAUGGGCAUGCGUAGGAUUAGUUAGUUGGUGAGGUAACGGCUCACCAAGACAGCGAUCCUUAGGGGUUCUGAGAGGAUUCCCCCCCACACUGGAACUGAGACACGGUCCAGACUCCUACGGGAGGCAGCAGUGAGGAAUAUUGGUCAAUGGGCGCUAGCCUGAACCAGCCAUCCCGCGUGCAGGAAGACGGCCCUAUGGGUUGUAAACUGCUUUUCUGUUAGAAGAACAGUUCUUACGUGUUAAGGAUAUGACAGUAUAACAGGAAUAAGCAUCGGCUAACUCCGUGCCAGCAGCCGCGGUAAUACGGAGGAUGCAAGCGUUAUCCGGAUUCAUUGGGUUUAGAGGGUGCGUAGGCGGGUUUGUAAGUCAGUGGUGAAAUACUGUCGCUUAACGAUAGGAUUGCCAUUGAUACUGCUAAUCUUGAGUAUGGUUGAGGUAGGCGGAAUGUGUUGUGUAGCGGUGAAAUGCAUAGAUAUGACACAGAACACCAAUUGCGAAGGCAGCUUACUAAUCCAUUACUGACGCUGAUGCACGAAAGCGUGGGGAUCAAACAGGAUUAGAUACCCUGGUAGUCCACGCUGUAAACGAUGUUCACUCGCUGUUUGCGAUACACAGUAAGCGGCUAAGCGAAAGCAUUAAGUGAACCACCUGGGGAGUACGAUCGCAAGGUUGAAACUCAAAGGAAUUGACGGGGGCCCGCACAAGCGGAGGAACAUGUGGUUUAAUUCGAUGAUACGCGAGGAACCUUACCUGGGCUUAAAUGUAGAUUGCAUAGGGUAGAGAUAUCCUUUCCCUUCGGGGCUAUUUACAAGGUGCUGCAUGGUUGUCGUCAGCUCGUGCCGUGAGGUGUCGGGUUAAGUCCCAUAACGAGCGCAACCCUUACCGUUAGUUGCCAUCGGGUCAAGCCGGGAACUCUAGCGGGACUGCCACCGUAAGGUGAGAGGAAGGCGGGGAUGACGUCAAAUCAGCACGGCCCUUAUGUCCAGGGCUACACACGUGUUACAAUGGCCGGUACAGAGGGCAGCUACUUAGUGAUAAGAUGCUAAUCCCAAAAUCCGGUCCCAGUUCGGAUUGGAGUCUGCAACCCGACUCCAUGAAGUUGGAUUCGCUAGUAAUCGCGCAUCAGCCAUGGCGCGGUGAAUACGUUCCCGGGC
Molecule: ribosomal RNA, 1347 nt
Filed under: uncultured Bacteroidales bacterium
Lineage: Bacteria; Pseudomonadati; Bacteroidota; Bacteroidia; Bacteroidales
Description: bacterial SSU rRNA
Rfam family: Bacterial small subunit ribosomal RNA
Source: RNAcentral